UAAUACAUGCAAGUCGAGCGAACAGACGAGGAGCUUGCUCCUCUGACGUUAGCGGCGGACGGGUGAGCAACACGUGGAUAACCUACCUAUAAGACUGGGAUAACUUCGGGAAACCGGAGCUAAUACCGGAUAAUAUAUUGAACCGCAUGGUUCAAUAGUGAAAGACGGUUUUGCUGUCACUUAUAGAUGGAUCCGCGCCGCAUUAGCUAGUUGGUAAGGUAACGGCUUACCAAGGCAACGAUGCGUAGCCGACCUGAGAGGGUGAUCGGCCACACUGGAACUGAGACACGGUCCAGACUCCUACGGGAGGCAGCAGUAGGGAAUCUUCCGCAAUGGGCGAAAGCCUGACGGAGCAACGCCGCGUGAGUGAUGAAGGUCUUCGGAUCGUAAAACUCUGUUAUUAGGGAAGAACACAUGUGUAAGUAACUAUGCACGUCUUGACGGUACCUAAUCAGAAAGCCACGGCUAACUACGUGCCAGCAGCCGCGGUCAUACGUAGGUGGCAAGCGUUAUCCGGAAUUAUUGGGCGUAAAGCGCGCGUAGGCGGUUUUUUAAGUCUGAUGUGAAAGCCCACGGCUCAAUCCGUGGAGGGUCAUUGGAAACUGGAAAACUUGAGUGCAGAAGAGGAAAGUGGAAUUCCAUGUGUAGCGGUGAAAUGCGCAGAGAUAUGGAGGAACACCAGUGGCGAAGGCGACUUUCUGGUCUGU
RNAcentral lists this ribosomal RNA (707 nucleotides) under uncultured Staphylococcus sp. RNAcentral's name for it is "bacterial SSU rRNA". It matches the Rfam family "Bacterial small subunit ribosomal RNA", at positions 49 to 737 of the family's 1533-position model. Lineage: Bacteria; Bacillati; Bacillota; Bacilli; Caryophanales; Staphylococcaceae. The record is from RNAcentral.